This 253-nucleotide ribosomal RNA is filed under the name uncultured bacterium. Its description in RNAcentral is "partial 16S ribosomal RNA". It matches the Rfam family "Bacterial small subunit ribosomal RNA", at positions 524 to 776 of the family's 1533-position model. The record is from RNAcentral.
UACGUAGGGUGCGAGCGUUGUCCGGAAUUAUUGGGCGUAAAGGGCUCGUAGGCGGUUUGUCGCGUCGGGAGUGAAAUCAUCUGGCUUAACUGGGAGCUUGCUUUCGAUACGGGCAGACUAGAGGUAUGCAGGGGAGAACGGAAUUCCUGGUGUAGCGGUGAAAUGCGCAGAUAUCAGGAGGAACACCGGUGGCGAAGGCGGUUCUCUGGGCAUGACCUGACGCUGAGGAGCGAAAGUGUGGGGAGCGAACAGG